This 442-nucleotide unclassified non-coding RNA is filed under the name Hevea brasiliensis (rubber tree). Lineage: Eukaryota; Viridiplantae; Streptophyta; Magnoliopsida; Malpighiales; Euphorbiaceae. The record is from RNAcentral.
AUGAAGUAAAGAAAUCUGGCUUAGGUGAGGAGACAGAACAUGUGCCAAAUGAAAAGUUAAAGCAAGUUGAAGACAAAGAAGAAGAUGGAUUCAUAACAGUAGUUAGGUUCUCUGAGGAUAAUCCGGUUGGAAAAGCUACAGCACUUAUUAACUGGAAGUUAAUGGUGGUGGAGUUUUCACCUGAAGAAGAUGCUGUAUUCAUACUUCUUCUUUGCAUGUCAAUUAUCAGAAGCAUAUCAGAAAUGAAAAAGGAAGAUGUAGGAAGCCUGUUGAUUAGAAGAAGAAUAAAAGAAGCAAAGCUUGGUGACAGAGAUUGGGGCUCAGUGGUUGUCCACGCUUCUUCAUAUUCUCCAUCGAUCUCUUCACCUCACCUUCAGCCUUGGUAUUGGAAUGUGCAAGCAGUGAUGGGAUCACAAGGUGUAGACAAUAUCCCAAGGCUACA